GACGAACCGUGCGAACGUUGUUCGGAAUCACUGGGCUUAAAGGGCGCGUAGGCGGGCCACCAAGUCUGUGGUGAAAUCCCCCGGCUCAACCGGGGAACGGCCGUGGAUACUGGGGGCCUCGAGGGAGAUAGGGGCAGGCGGAACUGAUGGUGGAGCGGUGAAAUGCGUUGAUAUCAUCAGGAACUCCGGUGGCGAAGGCGGCCUGCUGGAUCUCAUCUGACGCUGAGGCGCGAAAGCCAGGGGAGCAAACGGG
This 253-nucleotide ribosomal RNA is filed under the name uncultured Zavarzinella sp. Its description in RNAcentral is "partial 16S ribosomal RNA". It matches the Rfam family "Bacterial small subunit ribosomal RNA", at positions 524 to 776 of the family's 1533-position model. The record is from RNAcentral. Lineage: Bacteria; Pseudomonadati; Planctomycetota; Planctomycetia; Gemmatales; Gemmataceae.